This 813-nucleotide long non-coding RNA is filed under the name Dromaius novaehollandiae (emu). RNAcentral's name for it is "lncRNA (ENSDNVG00000008543.1)". The record is from RNAcentral. Lineage: Eukaryota; Metazoa; Chordata; Aves; Casuariiformes; Dromaiidae.
AAAAAACAUCUGUGGCUACAGUUCACCAAAGCCUCUGCUUAAGAGACAGGAGGACGCUCUUGCAGAUGAAGGAUAGAGGAAGGAGUUAGCAUUUGCCAUGGAGGCAUUAGGGGCAGUCGCAGCACUUCUCUGCACCAUUACGGGACAUCAUACUUUCCCUGCGGCUCCAUGCGACCAAAAGUAGUAACCACCUGGAGAUACUCUGCCUUGAAGGGACCCCUGGACACUUGGCCCUACGGAAUAGGGGAACUUUUCUGCGCUGAGCUUCUAAAGUCAGCUUCUGAUGCUGUGAAACAUGCAGCGAAAGAAAGAUAUGCCCUCCUCUGGCAUCUUUGAAGUUCUUUAGUGCUGGAAGCGACUGAGCAUCACCAAGUCUAAGGCUGUUUUCUGCUCAGCAGAUGGGAGAAACCCCAAUGAACACAUCUGCUGCUCACUGCAAGUGGCUCUUUCCUCUGAUCUGGAGCCAUGGAGCAAAGCAGCUCAGCCUUUCCAUCUGUGCAUCGCUUACUCCUCAGCUGGAAGCUCUCAUAAGACAGGCGCAUUAGGAGCUGACUACGGACACUGCAGAAGCAGGGUCCAACUCCACCCAGGCAUGGCCCAGUAGGCUGGACACAAAGCGCUUUCCAUUUAGCACUCUGCUGUGCCUCAUGAAUGCGGCCCUGUGACACCACUGUGGCACCACACGAACAGGCCCCAGCUGCGGGGCCUGAAGGCAACUGCACUCAAGCAUCAUGUUACAGCACUUUGAGAAAUAACCUGCCUGCACCUUCCAGCCACUAUUACAAUCAUGAUACCCCUUUUUUCCCUAAAACA